AGAACCUCUUCAAUAUCUUGCAUGUUACAGAUUUCACUACUCCCACCAGCUUGGAGACAACAUGUGGUUCUUGACAACUCUGCUCCUUUGGGUUCCAGUUGAUGGGCAAGUGGGCUGGCUACUACUGCAGGUCUCCAGCAGAGUCUUCAUGGAAGGAGAACCUCUGGCCUUGAGGUGUCAUGCGUGGAAGGAUAAGCUGGUGUACAAUGUGCUUUACUAUCGAAAUGGCAAAGCCUUUAAGUUUUUCCACUGGAAUUCUAACCUCACCAUUCUGAAAACCAACAUAAGUCACAAUGGCACCUACCAUUGCUCAGGCAUGGGAAAGCAUCGCUACACAUCAGCAGGAAUAUCACAAUACACUGUGAAAGGCCUCCAGUUACCAACUCCUGUCUGGUUUCAUGUCCUUUUCUAUCUGGCAGUGGGAAUAAUGUUUUUAGUGAACACUGUUCUCUGGGUGACAAUACGUAAAGAACUGAAAAGAAAGAAAAAGUGGAAUUUAGAAAUCUCUUUGGAUUCUGGUCAUGAGAAGAAGGUAAUUUCCAGCCUUCAAGAAGACAGACAUUUAGAAGAAGAGCUGAAAUGUCAGGAACAAAAAGAAGAACAGCUGCAGGAAGGGGUGCACCGGAAGGAGCCCCAGGGGGCCACGUAGCAGCGGCUCAGUUGGUGGCCAUCGAUCUGGACCGUCCCCUGCCCACUUGCUCCCCGUGAGCACUGCGUACAAACAUCCAAAAGUUCAACAACACCAGAACUGUGUGUCUCAUGGUAUAUAACUCUUAAAGCAAAUAAAUGAACUGACUUCAACUGGGAUACAUUUGGAAAUGUGGUCAUCAAAGAUGACUUGAAAUGA
Molecule: long non-coding RNA, 847 nt
Organism: Homo sapiens (human)
Lineage: Eukaryota; Metazoa; Chordata; Mammalia; Primates; Hominidae
Gene: FCGR1BP
Product: Fc gamma receptor Ib, pseudogene
Source: Ensembl